AGCGAAUGGAUUAAGAGCUUGCUCUUAUGAAGUUAGCGGCGGACGGGUGAGUAACACGUGGGUAACCUGCCCAUAAGACUGGGAUAACUCCGGGAAACCGGGGCUAAUACCGGAUAACAUUUUGAACCGCAUGGUUCGAAAUUGAAAGGCGGCUUCGGCUGUCACUUAUGGAUGGACCCGCGUCGCAUUAGCUAGUUGGUGAGGUAACGGCUCACCAAGGCAACGAUGCGUAGCCGACCUGAGAGGGUGAUCGGCCACACUGGGACUGAGACACGGCCCAGACUCCUACGGGAGGCAGCAGUAGGGAAUCUUCCGCAAUGGACGAAAGUCUGACGGAGCAACGCCGCGUGAGUGAUGAAGGCUUUCGGGUCGUAAAACUCUGUUGUUAGGGAAGAACAAGUGCUAGUUGAAUAAGCUGGCACCUUGACGGUACCUAACCAGAAAGCCACGGCUAACUACGUGCCAGCAGCCGCGGUAAUACGUAGGUGGCAAGCGUUAUCCGGAAUUAUUGGGCGUAAAGCGCGCGCAGGUGGUUUCUUAAGUCUGAUGUGAAAGCCCACGGCUCAACCGUGGAGGGUCAUUGGAAACUGGGAGACUUGAGUGCAGAAGAGGAAAGUGGAAUUCCAUGUGUAGCGGUGAAAUGCGUAGAGAUAUGGAGGAACACCAGUGGCGAAGGCGAC
This 680-nucleotide ribosomal RNA is filed under the name Bacillus cereus. RNAcentral describes it as "bacterial SSU rRNA". It matches the Rfam family "Bacterial small subunit ribosomal RNA", at positions 65 to 725 of the family's 1533-position model. The record is from RNAcentral. Lineage: Bacteria; Bacillati; Bacillota; Bacilli; Caryophanales; Bacillaceae.